RNAcentral lists this ribosomal RNA (620 nucleotides) under uncultured bacterium. Its description in RNAcentral is "bacterial SSU rRNA". It matches the Rfam family "Bacterial small subunit ribosomal RNA", at positions 104 to 723 of the family's 1533-position model. The record is from RNAcentral.
GGGUGCGUAACACGUGAGCAACUUGCCCGUGACAGGGGGAUAAGCGAUGGAAACGUCGUCUAACAUCCCGUAACACGAGGGGAGGCAUCUCCCUUCGUUGAAAACUCCGGUGGUCACGGAUGGGCUCGCGGGACAUUAGCUAGUUGGCGGGGCAACGGCCCACCAAGGCGACGAUGUCUAGGGGUUCUGAGAGGAAGAUCCCCCACACUGGAACUGAGACACGGUCCAGACUCCUACGGGAGGCAGCAGUGAGGAAUAUUGGACAAUGGAGGCAACUCUGAUCCAGCCAUGCCGCGUGAAGGACGAAGGCCCUAUGGGUCGUAAACUUCUUUUGUCAGGGAGCAAUAAGGGCCACGCGUGGUCCGACAAGAGUACCUGGCGAAUAAGCAUCGGCUAACUCCGUGCCAGCAGCCGCGGUAAUACGGAGGAUGCGAGCGUUAUCCGGAUUUAUUGGGUUUAAAGGGUGCGUAGGCGGACGAUUAAGUCAGCUGUGAAAUGCCCGCGCUUAACGCGGGAAGUGCAGUUGAUACUGGUUGUCUGGAGUGCCGUUGCCGUGGGGGGAAUGUGUAGUGUAGCGGUGAAAUGCAUAGAUAUUACACAGAACGCCGAUUGUGAAGACA